AGUGAACGCUGGCGGUAGGCCUAACACAUGCAAGUCGAACGGCAGCACAGUAAGAGCUUGCUCUUACGGGUGGCGAGUGGCGGACGGGUGAGGAAUACAUCGGAAUCUACUUUUUCGUGGGGGAUAACGUAGGGAAACUUACGCUAAUACCGCAUACGACCUACGGGUGAAAGCAGGGGAUCUUCGGACCUUGCGCGAUUGAAUGAGCCGAUGUCGGAUUAGCUAGUUGGCGGGGUAUAGGCCCACCAAGGCGACGAUCCGUAGCUGGUCUGAGAGGAUGAUCAGCCUCACUGGAACUGAGACACGGUCCAGACUCCUACGGGAGGCAGCAGUGGGGAAUAUUGGACAAUGGGCGCAAGCCUGAUCCAGCCAUACCGCGUGGGUGAAGAAGGCCUUCGGGUUGUAAAGCCCUUUUGUUGGGAAAGAAAAGCAGCAGGUUAAUACCCCGCUGUUCUGACGGUACCCAAAGAAUAAGCACCGGCUAACUUCGUG
RNAcentral lists this ribosomal RNA (492 nucleotides) under uncultured bacterium. Its description in RNAcentral is "partial 16S ribosomal RNA". It matches the Rfam family "Bacterial small subunit ribosomal RNA", at positions 29 to 507 of the family's 1533-position model. The record is from RNAcentral.